ACUGUACCAAGUAAUGGCUAUUUAGAAGGUACUAUUCGUACAUAUGAUA
This 49-nucleotide small RNA is filed under the name Staphylococcus aureus. Its description in RNAcentral is "HMPRFS0000_1514". Lineage: Bacteria; Bacillati; Bacillota; Bacilli; Caryophanales; Staphylococcaceae. The record is from RNAcentral.